RNAcentral lists this long non-coding RNA (20231 nucleotides) under Solanum tuberosum (potato). RNAcentral describes it as "long non-coding RNA (STUB_LNC002172)". The record is from RNAcentral. Lineage: Eukaryota; Viridiplantae; Streptophyta; Magnoliopsida; Solanales; Solanaceae.
GCGAGGAUUUUGUCUGCUGACAUUGCAUACAAGUGAAUUGCAUGUGUCACAUAACAAGCAAAGUGAAAAUGCAGUAAAUUAUUCUCCAGAGAGUAUCAUGUCAUUUGCAUUCACAAACAUAAUGUGCAUGCAUGAAAAUGACCAGACAAUUUCAUCUACUUUUACGUGUUGUUUCCUUUUUUUUUUUUCUUUUUUUUUUUUGUUGAUAAUUUCAUCUGCUUGAUUGCAAGAUUUUAAAUCAUGAACUGUUAGAAAUGGAAAGGGUUUUGGCAGUUGGACCUGGUAAAAGCCUUUGUCAUAUCUGGGCGUGUAAGAAGCCUUGAGAGCAGCAAACCGGAUAUGGUUCGCAUAGGACCCGCAUUUGAAAGGUAGUCUUUAGAGAUUUCCAGAAUUUUUUGAACAAGUGGAGGUGGCUCACCUCCAGCAUAGUUAUUAUUCCCAGCACUAGUAUCCAUAGAAGCUAUAUCAAAAGGGAUCAAUACAAGAAUGUAGAGCCACAAUAGUAUCACACACUUUGCCUCCAUCUCUCCAGUACUUUCUUGUCGUAAUGAUGUUCCAGCUUGUGUAUUAUGGCAUUUCUCCAGGAGAGAUACUGCAAGCUCCAGGUCAGAAACCUGAUGAGGGAAGAACUUGACAACAGCCUUGUAGCCACAGACUGUCACCAGAGAAUAUAUUAUGAUACACACAGGCUUAAUUACUUCAAGAAUCUCUUCCGAGGCAGCAGCUUGUUCGACAGCUUUUGAACGGACAAUGGACAUUAGGGGCGAAACCAUACUCUCGAGGUAAGGCUCCAGUAAUUGACCUUGCUCCUGAUAUUUGUCCAUCUGCAAAUCAUAUUUUAAACAAAUAAUUAAUGUACUACCAAAGAAAAAAUAUUUUUUAUAAAAUUUGCAUUAGCUCUAAGCAACUGGUGUUUUAGGAAUUCUGAAAGCAAAGUACUCAAUCAUUAAGUACUUUUAAGAGUUUGGACUUGGCAUCAUCAAGAGUGUAGUGUCCUACAUCAACAUGAGUAAAAGAUGAGCAGAAAUUUGAAACAAUACAUUCUUCAAAUUUCUUCUCAACAAAUACAUCUCUUCACAGUCCCCUCUCAAAAAACUAAAUCUCUCCACAGUUCCUCUACAAGCUCACUUUUAGACUUAGACAUCAAGACCAGCAAAAUUCAGAUCUUUUCUCGCCGAUGAAUCAUCAUAUUAGUUAAUCAUACAAACAGCUAAGAAGUCCCACAUCGGUAGAGGGAUGGGAAUUUGGUCUCGUUAUAUGGACUUGGACAAACCUCCCCUCUUGAGCUAGCUUUUGAGGUUGAGUUAAGUCCAGGUGUCAUAUCUUUACAUGGUAUUAGAGUCAGGUGCAUCCCAAUUUGUUGUUCACCGAUGUUAGGCCCCCAUUUAGAAAUGUUCACGCUCCAGUUGAGGUCUGGCCGUGCGGGGGAGUGUUAAGAAGUCCCACAUUGGUAGAGGGAUGGGAAUUUGGUCUCCGUUUAUGGACUUGGACAAACCUCCUCUCUUGAGCUUGCUUUUGAGGUUUAGUUAGGCUCAGGUGUCAUAUCUUUACACAAACAAAUUGUCCUUAACACACAAAAUAAAAAAUGCUUCCUGCAAUUCAAUAUAGAAGGUGGUGUUCGAUUGAACUUGGAAUUUAAGAAAUAGAGUAAGACUUUUCACUCAUAAGCAAAAUAUAUAGUCCUACAAAAAGUAUCCUCGGAACUAGUGGUCUUCAACAUGCCAUAUUAAUUUGCAUAAGAGCAUGUCAUUAAGGGCAAGGUAGAAAUGCUAAUACAACAAACUUCCAAAUAUAAAUAGGAGUCGAUCUUUUAAGAGAGAUCAAGGAUGUAUGACUGUCAUAUAAAAUAGAAAAGAGAGCAUAAUUAUCAAGCUUGAAGUUCAGUAACAUUCUUCAGUCACAAAUGUAGUUUUACAGUUCCUUUAGAAGCUUAGUUUCUAAUCAAAUCACACAAAGUUUAAAUCUUUGGUCUAAAUAUAUUGCCCAACACCCUUCGGGGUGGCCCAGUGGUUUGAGCUUGGGACUUCCAUGUUGGAGGUCGCACCUGGCUUGCCUAGUGCAGGUUAACUCUCUUGUGUGGUUUGCGAGCUAUUGUAUAGGAGCGGGGGUUUUACCCUGUGCGCACCCAAAGGGUAGCGGCUGCGGGUUUCCCUUGUCAUAAAAAAAAAAUAUAUAUUGCCCAACAAUAACAACAUCCAGAAUUAUUCCCCAAUCUCAAACUAGUUGCAGUUGGCAAUAUAAGUCCCCUAUAUCUAAUAUGCUCCAUCUAUGUUUCUUUCAUUCAACUAUUCAAUUGUUUGUCGUAUAGGACAAAUUAGGAAUAAAUUAAGACGAAAAGUAUUUUUUAAAAUCUGAUGCCUUUUCUUAGACUGUAAUACAGUCUUUAACCAAACUUAAAAAACUCCAUCAAGCACCAAACCAAUGUAAAUGUGCUAAUAACAAAAUAUCCCGAUCCCAACUAGUCGGGAUUGCCUAUCCAUACAUUCCUCCUGAAUCAUAUCUUACCCUUUACUAAGUACGCAAUGAUCCCAAGAAAUUGAGGUACUUUAAGACAACUUACUUCCAUCAUGUGAUCUGUCAUGUACACAUGUUCCCUUUUAACACCUUUAAUCAUCACGGUGUCACACCAAUGGGUCAAUGUCCUUGGAAGUCUACGUAAGACACAAUUAAAGCAUCUCACAUAACCUCUCACUUUUUGCUCUAUAUGUGCUAUUGUACAUCAUGUUAAUCUUUUCUAAUCUUGUACGAUCACACGUCAUCUUAACAUUCAUAUUUUUGCAUUACUCGUCUUGGAUACAUUAGGCACUUAGGCCUUGGAGGCCAAAUCUCACUUCACAUAGUAUCAUUAGGCUCCCAACCAUUCUAUAUAACUAGUAUUUCCUUUAGAUAUGUAUCCUCUUAUCACAUAAAUCCAUCCUACUCUAGCUCUCUGUGUUUUUCAUCUUUCAUGCCAUUCUGAGGAUGAGCCAAAAUAUCUGAACUAUUUGCAUUUCUAUUAUCAAACAACCAAAAAAAAAUUAAAAAACCAAAGUUAAAUUUUACAGGUAUUUCAAGUACAAGCAUAGCACUGAACUAAUAAUUAUGCAGUUCAAACAGACAAAAUAGAUAGAGAGAGAUUACGAUAGAUCGGAUCUUAUGCACAGAGGAGAUAUCAGAGACACGGCCAUUGGAAAUGAUAUCGUCGAGGAGUGACUUAACAAGCUUCCAUUCCUGUAGAAAAUAUCUCUGCAGAACACUUUCUUUAGAAUCGUGUUCAUCGUCUUCUUCAACUUCGGUAACUCCCAUUUUCAAUUGUUCCUCCAUCUUCAAGCUUUCUUCUACUCCGUCAGCCGCUAACAGAGACACCGAGAAGAUACACUGUGACGAUUUGCCUCAAAAAAAUUUACUAGUAUUUGAUUUGAUUUUGCCGCUGCUAUUGCCGGACUGAGAUUCAUCUGCUUAAUUAACGUCGGGGUUAACUGAUAAUCGCUGUCCAGCCCACAAUUGAUUUUACUAUGUCCAAUUUCGUUUAGUUUAUGGGCUCAUGAAUGAUUGAAGCAGAUUAGAAUUUUGUUGGGCUCUUUUGGUAAAUGGAAAGAGCUAGCCCACGUAUGGGGUCAAAUUUACACUACAUUUUAGAGCUCAAUUAUCAUACAUAACUUUAGUUUCUUUCAAAAUUUAUCAUUAGUAAAUUUUAGGUUUAGCAAACAUAAAAAUCAUAUUUGUAUGCUAUAGUUAUAAUUUGUAUAAUUGCGCUCCGUAACAAACUUUAUGUUUUCUAUGACUAUUAAUUUGUAUAUUUCGGUAUACAUAUACAUAAAAAUUUGUAUUUGUAUAUUUCGGUAUACAAACUAAAACACAGUAAUUAUAUAUAAACAAAAUUACUACAUAUAGACAACACAUAUGUAUACCGAAUGGGUCUAUUUAUUUUGGGCGGUAUACAAAUGGAUCCUGAAAUUAAUUUCUAUACAACACAUAUGUAUACCGAAUGUGUCUAUUUGUAUAUUCGGUAUACAAAUGGAUCCUGCAAUUAAUUUUUAUACAACACAUANNNNNNNNNNNNNNNNUGCAUUUGUAUAUUUCGGUAUACAAAUGGGAUGGCAAAAAACAUAUAAUGUUUGCUGCGAAUUACAAAUAAAAGAAACUAUGGCUAUAUCAUUUAAUUUGAAUUAACAGUUUGCUACUUCAUACAAUUUUCCCAAUAGUUUGUUUUCAAAAUGUAUCAUUUGUAGCAAAUCUUUUAUUACCAAUUUAUCAUACAUUUAUAUGUGCGACGAUUAAAAUCUUUGUUAAUUGUAUUUGUUGGCAUGGCAAAUCAAUCUAUGUUAAUUGUUCAAGGAAAAAUUAAAGAAAUCCCACAUUUUAGUUUACUUAUUACCAUUAUCCUCUAUAAGUUUUACAAAUCUCCAAAAUCCCUCAUUUUCGCGCAUCAGAUUAGUGUAUCUCGCGCAUCAGAUUAAUGUAUCAACGCUUAUAUUAUUGUAUCUCGCGCAUCAGAUUAUUGUAUCAUGUAUAAAAUGUACAUCAAAUUAGUGUAUCAUGUAUAGAAUGUAAUGUAUCUUACUUAACGAUUAAUGUAUCUCGCACAUCAGAUUAAUGUAUCAACGCUUAUAUUAUUGUAUCUCGCGCAUCAGAUUAUUGUAUCAUGUAUAAAAUGUACAUCAAAUUAGUGUAUCAUGUAUAGAAUGUAAUGUAUCUUACUUAACGAUUAAUGUAUCUCGCACAUCAGAUUAAUGUAUCAACGCUUAUAUUAUUGUAUCUCGCGCAUCAGAUUAUUGUAUCAUGUAUAAAAUGUACAUCAAAUUAGUGUAUCAUGUAUAGAAUGUAAUGUAUCUUACUUAACGAUUAAUGUAUCUCGCACAUCAGAUUAAUGUAUCAACGCUUAUAUUAUUGUAUCUCGCGCAUCAGAUUAUUGUAUCAUGUAUAAAAUGUACAUCAAAUUAGUGUAUCAUGUAUAGAAUGUAAUGUAUCUUACUUAACGAUUAAUGUAUCUCGCACAUCAGAUUAAUGUAUCAACGCUUAUAUUAUUGUAUCCGUUUGAAGGAUUUCUGUAAUUAUAAACUUUGAAGGGAUAUGUUGUAAUUUUGCCUUAAAAGUAUGUGAUUUAUGUAAUUUGCCCAUUGUUCAACGAAUACAAUCAAGGCAAAAUACAUAAAAAUGCAUUGAAUAUACAAGAUACAAACAAUAAAAAUACAGGAUUAUAAACUAUAUAACCACAAAAAUACAAUAAGAUACAUCCGUAAAAUACAGUCAAACAAGAACACGAACAACAAAAAUUAUAUCCCGUAUCUGAAAAGUUAGAUAUCUGGUGCAAAAUAUAUAUAUGUGAAGUUUAGAGAGGAUAUACAAUAAUACAAAUAACAAAAGGUGGAUGGUACAAUCAAGGUAAAAUAUCAAAAUUAGUGAUUUGCCGGAAAAAUUUUCGUUCAAAAUACAGAAAAACAAUCCAGAACAAAAAAAAGUUUUCGAUGCCAUAAACUUUGUCCUUCCUCAAAAUAUAGUGAUUUGGUUAAGGUUGUGUGUAUAUCGAUCAGUUUCUCCAUAUUUACUUGUGGAAUUAUAUCAGGAAUAUUAUUGUUGAUUAAGUUAAAUUCUUUAAAACGGUUUUACAUAAUCCUUCGACUUGAGUAAUUUUUUGAGUGAAAUAACAAAAGAUAAGUGAUUUUUCUCAUUAAAAAGGGUGACUUUAUUCACUUAUUUUGAGUAUAUAGUUCACAUCAUUUAAUUAAGCAAUAUGAACUCUUAGAAAAAUAUAUCGCAACCCUAACGAAACAAAAAUACUUUCCUUUCUUUUACAAGAUAUGCAAAAUAUCAUAUUCACACAUUGAUUGAUGAUAUUAUUCAAGUUUACAAACAUAUAGUAUAUGCUAUAUAUGUAUACACCACCAAGACUCAAAAGUAAUUCCCAUCACAACUAGCUAGCUAACUAAAACACUCAUAAAUAUUUGUUUUUUAUAUAUAUAUGCAACCUUGGUUCUUGCUUUAAGGUUUAUUUUUAAAGCCACCAUUAGAAUUAGCUCUAUGCCAAGCUGCAAAUCCAUUAAACAAAACCAACGUAUUGCUAGUAACUUGUGCAACAUUAAGUACCCUAGCUUUAAUCAUAGCCAUCCUUUUACCACCCAUUGGGUACCCAUAAAAUCCAUCCAUACAAAUAUAUGUAUCAGUCAAUACAGUACUUAGCCAAGUUUGCACAUUGCUUUGACACCAAGCAAAAUCCCCUUCACUAUAUUCUGCACUCUUCAUGUGUUCAAAUUCUUUGAAUGAAUUUGUAAGCUCAGAAACACUAUCUGACAUUUGAUCUAAACAAUCUUUAACCGCUUGAUAUUCCUUAGCCUUUUUUUGUUUCAGUUCUUUCGACACUAUUUCCAAGUAAUUUUUUGUGUAUACUGCCUUAACUAUACUCACUUUUAAAGCAGCUUGAGCUAUUUCUUGAGGAUCUUGUGACGUUGGAUUUAAAUGUGUUGCUAAUGAACUCACACAUAGACCUGGAUAACGAGUGUGCUUGCAUUGUGACUCUAUGAAUUUAGGCACGAUUGCAUUCGAUUCAACAAUAAAGAUAGAAAAAAUGAGAAGUAAAAUUAGGGGAAGGACAAGUUUUUCCAUAUUUUUUUUUGGAGAAGUAUAACAAGGAAAGAUUAACCUAAGAGUAUAGAAUUAUAUGAAGAGAGAAUGAAUUUUGUUGUGUUGUGUUUGUUUGAUGGGAAAAUUGUAAAGGAGGUGCUAAGGUUUAUAUAGAAGCUAAGGGCUAUGACAUGAAUAUAAAUGAUCAUGAGAAGUUUAAUUAUAUUAAUGCACACUCAUUCUUGCUUAAUAUUCGGUAUUGACCUUAUACACCCUUUAAGAAAAUUUUAAUUUAUUAAAACUAAUCUUAUUAAUGAUAUUUUGAAAUUUUAAAUUUGACUGCUAUUAUUUAAUUAAUACUAAAAGUAGUAUAGAAAAAAGAAAACUCUCUUAAUUUGCUAAAACAUAUCGAUAAAAUUGAAAUAUUUAUUUUUAAUAUAAGAAUCAAGUAAAAUAAAACGGAGGGAGUAAUGCAUAAUGCAUAAUUAUUUUAUGUGAGUCAAUUUUUUGGGGAAGGUGUUGAUGUUGGGGUUCUAGUAAACACAAACCUUAAUUCUUGUCGGAGCAAUGUCCUAUUUACGUAACUAAUUAUGAGUAUUGAGUUAUUGCUUUGACACCCAAAAAGUAGGAAAAGAUUAUAUUUUAAAGAAAAAUCUUUUUGGCAAAAAAUUUGGUCAGAAUGGUAAAAUAACAUAUUUCAUAUUAUGUUAUUUUAUAUUUUUGAAUAUUUUUACCCUUUUAACUUUAAUAUCUUUUAAUUAAAAAAUGAAAAAAAGAUCAAUUUAUUUUAAAAUAAAAAGGAUAUUAUAGACUUUUUAAAUUUCUGAUCGGCCAAAUUUUCUGGCCAUUUAGCAUUAUUCAUAUCUUAAAUCAACUAUGUUAAUGUGCGUAAUUAACAACAAUAAAUGUGUAGAAUGUUAAAAUUUUUACUGAUAUUAAUUAAUUGUCAUUAGAUUUAGUGUUACUAUAAACUUAAAUGACAUUUACAAAAAAUGUCAAAAUAUAAUUGUUACUAGUAAUUGUCUUAUAAAAAAAUAUUUAACUAUAAUUAAGUUAUUAUCAUUAAUUUAUUACUGCUAGAAAUCAUUUUUUGUAUAGUAACUUUUCAUAAUUUUUUAUAUACGUAAUGCAAUUUUUUUUGAAAGGUACUCACCUGACCCGAACCCAAAAACAUUCCAUUCUUUUUUAUUAGUAAAAAAAUGUAUGUACUAAGCUAGAAAUUGAUCCCUACCCAAGACCGGUUCAAUGCUUACAAAACUAAGAUAUAUGUUCCAUUAUAAAAUUUAAAAUGUUCUUUAUUUUUUAAAAUUUUAUGUUAAGUUGACAAAUAAAUUAAAAGAGAAGAGAAUAGCAAAUUGCAUUUUAUGUUUGUUUAGGUGAUUUUCAAGCAACUUCAAAUUACUUAUCGAAUCUUCUUGCUAUUAUUUCGAUUGAGAAAACACACUACUAGGGUCGACCCCUACGCUACCAAUUAUUACUCUUUUGACUCUUUUUCAAUCAUUCUCCUGAAAAAUGUAUAGCGAAAAAUAAAAUAUAUGAUGAUUAGCUUGAAUUUUAAAAACUUUCCUUAUAUUGAACUAUGAAAAAAAUAUUAGAAAUUUACUAAAUAUAAACUAGAGAGAGUAACGAAUAAGAAUUAAUAAAUUAUUGGGAUUGAAAACAUAUGGUCAAGGAUUUUUUUUUUUUCAAGAGAAGUAGAAAAAAGAAAUUGAUAAUGCAAGAUAAAGCCAAAAUGGCAAAAUAGAGCAAAUGAUAUAUAAACCAAUUUACACCGAGACAAAGAAAAUAAUAUUACAUGCGAUAUCUCUAUGUAUUUUAUAUAAUAAGUAUAACUUAGGACCUUAAGUUAUGUUCACAUGAAUGAGAAUUUGACUUUGAUUUCUGUAACGUUGUGCCACAUGCCAGAAGACCAUAGUAUUUACAAUUGUAAUUUAAUUAGUCCUUCACGUGCAAUUAAAUAUUAUUCCCUUCGUCCAUCUUUAUUUUUUCCAUCCUAAUUAGAUAUGACAAUUUUAAUAGAUCGCUUUAUAAACAUAAUAAAUUAAAUAUUUUGAAAAAAAAUAUAAGAGUAAAUUGUGAUAGUUAUCUUUUGAUUUUUGCAACUGAUAAUAAAAAUAAAAAUUUAUUAUUUUUAAUAUAGUGGACGAUGAAGUAAUAAUAACUUCUAAGAAGAGAGAGAUAAGGUUGGGUGUAGUAGACACAAACCUUAAUUCGUGUUAGAGUCGGUCGUAAACUUAGGUGGAGAGGAUUAUUAUUCAACGUUUUACUAGCUUGUGCUGAACAGGCUUUUUUAUCCGUGCAUACCGCAACUUGUCUUGCACAAAAAAAAAAACAAAUAAAUAAAACAUGGACUAAAUAUUAGACCAAAUUAUGCUACUACAUCAAGCUAUUUAUUUCAUAAUACAUCUACAAUUAUUAAAAUAAAACUACAUCUAAAUGGAUGAUAUAUCGUUUUACCUUUUUUAUUUUUUCAAUUACGUUUGUAACAUAAAAUAGAUCAUUUUUUUACCCUCCCUAGGAGCUCCCACCCCUUUUGCUUCCUUGGUGACUCGAACUCGCAACCUUCGGGUUGGAAGUGAGGGGUGCUUAUCAUCAAUGGCGUAGCCAGAAAUUUCACGAAGGGUGUCCAAGAAUCGCAUAGGUAAAAAAAUAAUUUGACGAUGGGUGCACUAAAAUUUUGAAAUCAAACUACGUAACAUUAACAAUUUAUUUUUUAAUUAAAAAUUAAUACUAAAAUUUUUAAAAUCAAACCACGUAAAAUUUAGCUUGAAUUUUCUUGUUUAUUUAAUAGGAAGUGAACGAAAAAGAAAAAAGAGAAAGAGAAAAUUCAGUUUAUAAUGAAACUUCCAGUAGUAUCAUUGUUGGAUUUUAUGAGAAUAACAAUUCAAUCAUGGAGUGCUAAACAUAGCGAAGAGGCUGGGCAAACCAAAACUGAUCUUACUGAACCAUACAAUAAAAUACUUGAAGAUAACCGUGAGAUAUCUCACCGUAUGACAGUAAGUAUCUAAUUCUCUGAAUAUUUGCAAUGUUAAUUUUUGAAUAUUUUUGUAACUAAGCAAAUUCUGUAUGUCUUUUGAUACUUUUGAUACAUGAAAAUUGUUUUAGGUAAGCCCAUCAACACAAUUCCUACAUACAAUAACUGAUGGAGCAAGACGUUUCACCGUGUGUCUACGAAGUAGAAAAUGUAGUUGUGGACGUUUUCAACUGGAUGAGAUACCAUGUGGUCAUGCUAUGGCUGCAAUUGCACACAGAAAUAAACAUGGAGAGGACUAUUGUUCUGAGUUCUACAGCAAUAAAAAUUUCCAAGACGCGUAUGCAAUUCCAGUUGAACCUCUUCCAUGUGAGAGUACAUGGGAAAUACCGUCUCAUGUGCUGGAUCAAAAAUUAUUACCACCAGAUUAUAAGAGAGGGCCAGGGAGACCACCAAUGGAACGCAAGAAGUCAUAUAGCGAAGGAAAAUUCAAGAGGGCCAAGGUAACAUGCAGCAUAUGUCGUCGCGAGGGGCACAAUAGGACGACAUGUGGUAGAUAUCCACCAGAUGCAUAGUUUAUGAUCAUAUGUUUGUGAUUGUUCUAUUUAUUUCUUUGUUUACAAACAAUUGAACUGUUUUUUGUUAUUUCUAGGUGAUUCAUCUAUGUUAUUAGUAUGUUUUAAGGAUUCUAUUUAAGUUUAUGAAAUACAAUUUAGUAAAAAAUAUUAUAAUUAUAUAUUUUUUGUUACUGUGACAUAAAAUUUUAAAGAUACCUGCAUCUGAAAUGUUCAUUCCAAAAUUAUCAACUCCUUGAUAUGUACUGCAUCUAAAUUUAAAGAUGGAACAAUUAAUAUGGGAAUGAUCUGUAGAUCACUAUAAAAUCAUACAAGUCAUAUUAGAAAUUAUAACGAGUAUACAACAGUUAUUAUAACAGGUUUUUGAGAAUAAUCACUUUGUAUAAUUUUGAUAUAUAAAGUGAUUAUAAUUGAGGAACCAAGUUUCUAUAUAAUUUAUAAAGACUCAAUACGUCUAUUUGGUGAAUUCUUAUUAACAUAAUCAACUCCUUGAUUUUGCGUUUAUUUAAGUGAAACAAAUAUUUUAAGAAUAUUUAAUUGUUCGCAAAAAACCGUAUAAGCAGCAUUGAGAGAUAAGCAUUAAAUAUGAUAAUUAUAAGCAACUUGAUUGAAUCAUCAAAAAAAGCUUUCAAAACUUUCGUAUGAUAUCAUCCUUUGUGUUUAAAUCUUUCAACACUUCGCAUAAUCAUCAAUCUUUCAAUACAAACUAUAUUCCAUAGUGUAACUAUUUUUAUAUAUAAUAGUUGUAUAACCAUGGAAUGACUGCUUUAAUUAAUAAUAUUGCUAUAUAGAAUCGUUACAAAAUAAUUUGUACACUAGUGAUUAUAUAUCAAAUAUAAAUUCACAAUCCACAACUAAAAAUAAUACAUAAUAGUUUUCAUCAAAACUUUAAAAAUAAAACUGCCACAAAUCUUUUUUAAUACCAUAUACUAACUGCCAGAAAUCAAGUUCACAAUCACCAACUAAAAAAAACAUUUACCGUCUUCAUCCAGAAAUAUUCAAAACCAAAAAUAUAAGACAGAUAAUCCUUUAAAAUGAAAAAACUUAAAUAAAUGCCAUAAUCCAUCAUAUUUAUUUGUAGACUCUUGGUGUAGGAUUUGGCAUCUGAAACUUCUGGCAAUCCCUAACAAUAUCUCUGUUAAUACUUGGUUCACCCAAUUUGCUUGCAAAUUUGCCACUCACCUCACCUUCACUUAUAGCACCUUGACUAAGUUUUGAUGUUGCAUAUUCCCAAAGUAAUGCACCAUAUCUCUUACGGUGAAGUUUUGGCAUGAAACAUUGACUUGGAAUUUCAAAAACUCCAUGUGUAAUAAGUUCAGCAAAUACGCAUGCAUAAAGUCCACUAUCACUGAAAACAUUGAAAAUCUUAAAACUGGUAGAUAAAAAAUAAAAAUAAAAAUUUAAAAAAUUAAACUUAUGAACUAGAAACAUCAAAUAUUAUUUAUAAAAUAAACAGGAGGCACUGGCAGGUCGGAAUUGAAUCUUUUAAACCUAAACUAACACAUAAAAUUGAGCACAGUCCACCUAUGGCUAUCAACUUCACUUCUUUUUAACAAGUCUAUUAUCAAAAAUGGUGAGCUCUAUUUAGUAAUCUAAUUCUUCAAAAUAGUUGAUAUUAUCAUAGAACGUAUUCAAAAUUCCAUUUUCAGUACACUAAAUUCAGAAUUUUAAUUAUCUACUUCAUUUUGGACCUACUAAGUUUAGUGCCGUAAUGAUGAAAUAAAAAGGUGACAGCUAAAAGUUUUGAAAGAAGAAAGAAUGGAUUCCUUAGGUAGUAGGUCAGAAGUAUGAAGUAAGCAAAGCGAGUUAAAAACAGAAUUGUCAUUGAGAAGGAGGCAGGCAGACUACGCCAGAAACAACCACGAUAACUUCUCACAGACGCUGCAUAAAUAGACUUGAACACAACACUGCAAAUGUGUUCUACACAUAAACAUUCUAUUACUUGGUCUAACAUUUAUGAUCGACACCAACUCCAUCCUCAGUUGCAACACAACACUACAUGACAUUAUUUAUUAACGAAAUAUGAAGGCAAUUUAGUUACACAAGCAAAUUCAAAAAGGGAAUCACUUACUUUGAAUCAGGAUGUUGUUGUGGGAUGUUCCUUUGCAUCUUAUAUUCAAGUGGUUCCAUUUCUGACUUGUCAAAAUAAGCAGGUUCCAUAUGCCAUUGAAUAUCUGAACGUUUACCAUAAUAGCCUAUGCUACUAAAGAACAACGGUAUCAUUCUUGCAAUAGACUCAACAGACUGUUUUACCAUUUUAGUGUGAUUUUCAUCACCCAUCUUUGAAUCAUAAACGUACAAACACCUGUGUUUUAUGCGAAAAACUACAAGAAUCCAAUGAAAACACUCACUAACAUUCACAGGGAUGAUGAUGUUAUCAACUCUAUCCCAAGGGAUAUUGGCAAUCAAAUUGUAACCCCGCAUAUAUUGACCAACACAAUGGUUAGGAGAUAUUGAACUCAUAUCACAAUUUGAUUCUUCCCACAAUAUUUCAGCUCCCAACAACCACGACAUAAAAACAGAGUCUGUGGUGACAUAUCUAGUACGAAUGUUUGUAGAGUGUUUAUCCUUUUUCCGUAAAUAGUACAUAAUGACAUCAACAUGCUGUUUCAAUAUAAACAAUCAGUAAAUAAUAACAUCAAAAUGAUAAAACAGGAUUAAAAAAUUACAUAUUGAUUGCAUACAAUAUGAUUAACUAUAGUUUAUAAAUAUACAUAUUAAUUGCAUACAAUAUGAUUAACAUUUUGUUCUUAAAAUACUGUGAUUUCAAAAACACAAUAACUGUAUAUAAUAGAUAUAUAAUAAGAUUUCUACAUUUUUUUUGAAUUAUAUACUCAUCGGUCACAUACAUAUAAAUUAAAUAAAUGACAUUAAUAUGUGAAUCUGGAAAUUCUUCUAUGGACAACGUCAUAUUAAUAUAAUACAUGAAGAAGAUAAAAUUUUAAAACAUACCUCAUCUUCCCAAGGUCUUCCAUCAUGAACCAUUAUGUGGAACCAAUCCAUUUUCUUUACUUUUACAAUUCCUAGAUCAAGUUCAGGCUUCAACUUAUCAUACACUGCGGUGUAUGCAGACUUCCUGCUUCAAUUAUGUUUUUAUAUAUAUAAAUCCAUAAUAUGGAAAAUAAUUGAUAAAAAUUGAGUAAAAUCAUCAUAAUGUAAUGUCAAAAGUACCUAUUUCGUCUCUGUGAUACAUUCUGAUACACCCAAUCUACAAACUUAUUUAUCAAAUCAGCAGAACAAUCAAACCCUUUAAACUUUUCAAAAGGAUGCUUAGCAUUAGAAAAAAUCAUCCUCUUUUCACAACUAUUUCCACCUUCAGGUAGCUGCACAUAUGGGGAUGUAUCAUACUUGCCUGAAUUUUUAAUUCGCAUUUGCAAUUGCGGUGUCACUGUUUCAUUAAGUAUUGGAUCCAAUGCAACCAUUUGUGUGUCUGUGAAUGGAGGAAAAUCAUCCAAUGUUGGUGUUUUAGUAGACGAAGUUCCCGGCACAUCAUAUUUAGAAACUAGAAUCAUAUAUAAUAUAACAAAUUAGUGCUUCAUCAUAGGACCUCAAUUCUACAACAAAAACAUUAACAUAUUUAGUACCUGUAUCUGACAAAUUCAUUCCAGAAGAAUCAUCUACCUCAUUUUCUGAUGCCACUGCAUUUUAAAAUGAUAAAAUUAUAUUCACUACAGGUAAUAAAAAUUAUCAACUUAUUAUAAAAAUUAGGUAUAACAACUAAUAAUAUGUAUAAAAGCAAGUUGAAUAGAAUUUAUAAAGGACUCAAUACCUGUAUCUGAAUUUUUCAUUCCAAAAGUAUCAACUGUUUGAUUUUGUUCAACAUCUAUAUUUAACAUGAACAAAUAUUUAGAAAAUAUCAGUAUUUCACUAUAAAUUCAUAUAAUUCUAUGAAAAAAAUUAUUGAGUAUAAAACAAGUAUGAAAACAGGUUGUUGCUAAUCUUCACUUUGUAUAAAUUUUGUAUAUAAAGUGAUAAUAAUAGAUUAACCAAAUAUCAAAGUAAUUUUUAAAGAACCAUACCUUAAUCGGGUGAAUUCUUUUCAAGAGAAUCGACUCCUUGAUUUUGUGUACAUUUUAAGUGGAACAAAUAUUUUAGGAAAAAGUAGUUUGCAAAUAACUCAUAUAGGCAGCUAUGAGACAUAAACAUAAACAUGAUAAUUAUAAAACUAAUAUAACAAUAGAUUUUCAACAUAUAUCAUCAAAAUAAUAUAAACCUUGAACUGGGAAAAACUUUUCAUGGGUUGGAGUUUCACUUGACUUCUGUUUUGAUGAUCUGAAUUCUUCAAUAAGCAACUUCAUUGAAUCAUCAAUAUAAGCUUUCAAAUCCUUUAUAUGAUCAUCAACUUUUGUCCUUAAAUCUUUCAAAUCUUCCCGGACCUAUGUAAGAAAGAAUAAACUAUCAAAACAUGUAUACGAUUAUAUAAACAUAGUAAAAUUUUCCCUUACAUUCACAAUUUCAUUCUUUAAUCUUAAAUAUCUUUCUUCAUCAGUUAAAACCAUCUUAACCCCUUCAUCCUGAUUAUUUGUGCUUUCUGGCAUGAUUGAAGGAUCCAUGUCAGCCAGCUCCACAUCUGUCAGUACUAUGUUUGAAAACUUGAUCUAGCAUUAAAAAUUCAUAUGAAAAAACAUUUCAAACAAAGAGAUUAUAGACAUAAUUCAAGAAAUAAAAUUCUUAUAAUCAAACCACAUGAACACACUUACCUGAUUUCCGUAUUUUCUAAACAUUGUAUUCUUUAAGAAUUCAAAAUAAAUCAACGAAUCAGAUGUCCGCCAAUUGAGUAUCCGCGGAGUGGUGGUACAUAUGCGAGUUGCAACAGAACGAUCAACCUUAGAGCAACACUCAUAAAACCAUAUUUGUAAGGCAAGAUGAAAUCCACCAAACUUGAAUGAUGAUGGAUUUUUUCCCAGUUUAUGGCUACAAUUUUUAAGCAGUGUGCGAAAACAAAGGUUCCCCCAUGAAUAAUCUUUAUACUCCCCAGUUUCAACCAAGUCAAAGUGCAAUUUCGAUACAAAAUUGCUGUUUGGUUCAGCAGAAAGUAAGAAAGUCUCAAUAAAGUAUACCAAUGCCAUUUUGAAGACAUCUCCAGGCUCUAUAAAAUCUUUGGCAUUAAAAGCAUUAAUAAAUUCCGACUUUCUAACUUGUUUUAUUCCAGGAAAGUACUGUGCGAGCAGCCUGUUUGGAGAAUCUGGAUCUGAAUAAAAAUCACUAUCCAAACCACAUUUUAACCCAGUGAUAACAGCAAAUUCUCUAAUUCCAAAUUUAAGCUCAGUAUCAUUUACAUUCACAAUGAACAUAUCAUCUCUAUCAUUCUUUGUUUCAACAAGCAAAAGGCUGCGUAAUAGUUGUGGCUGAACCUUUAUAUGUGGCAUGUCCAAAAAUAAACCAAAAGGAGAUUCCUUAAACUGUAGAAAUUGUUGGUCGUUAAGACGAUUCCUAAUGUCAUCACAAACAUCCAUAUUGGUGUAGGAACACCAAUGAGUAUAUUUCUUCUUUUCCUGGAGUAAAAAAAGGUACUUUUUAAAAAAAAUAAAAAAUAACUUGUGUAUACUUUUGAUAUAAAAAUUGAUCAUGAGCUAAUUCAAGAAAUAAAUUCAAGCAAUACAUACUAUAUACUAACAAACAAUAACAUUAUGAAUACGUUUGAUAUAAAAUUGGUAAUACCAAAGAGAUAAUCAAAAUAAAUUACUUGUUACAUGAUUUAAAAACAAAAGGAGAAAUGACCAUUUCCAUAGACACAAUAUACUCACAUACAACAACAUUAAUUCACACUGAUGUAUCUAAUUGAUAUAAUAUCAGAUUUUUUUUGGUUCUGAGAUAAUAAUGAAUUAUAAAAGUCAAUUCCAUACUUUAUAACCACAUGAUACUCAAAACCACAUCAAUAAACUCAAAUUCUUAUGCCAAAAUUGUAUAUACAAACGAACAUAAAUCAGACACAUACAAAAAUUUAUGUUUAAAUAUCUCCAUCAAUGAAAAUAACAUGCAAAGAGUAAAAUAAUAAAAUCAUGAAAAUAUGUUCAUUUAAUACCUUUGGAACAACUUUUCCACUUCUGAAAUUGAACUUCUUCGCGCGCACCUUAAUUUUUGGAUUUGGGGCUCUAGAAGUCUCACCCUUCAUAUAGUUCUUGUCCUUAAUGUAACUUGAUUCUGGCACAAAAUCUGAAUCCGAAUCAUCCGAACAUGUAUACACAACACUACUGCAUUUUCUUUUUUUUUCUUGUUGCUUGGUUGAACUAAUUUGAAUAGGAACAUUUUCACUUUCAUUAUUCUCCAAACAAUCGUUCUCAAGUGAUUGUGAUAUCAAAUUGAAGCUUGGAGGUUGACUCAAUCCAUGAUUGUUACUAAAUCUAGGGCUUUUUCUAGGGGAAAGGUUAGAUUUCAAAUAUCUCUUCAUGAUUGUUAAUAUAUAAUUUAAAAAACACAAAGACUAAGAAUGAAGGACAUGCAGAUAAUGGGAAAUUGAAAACAAACUUGAAGUUAUUCUCUGCACUAAACGUGUGUAGUCAAUCAAAUACAUAAUCUCACCACUUCCUAUGCACACUUUCAAAAACUGCUAACUUCUUAAUUAAUUAAUAAUCUGAAUUAAUUAAUAAAAAAUGGCUUAUUAAUUAAACGUGCAGACACAUACAAAAAGUUAGCAGAUUUAUUAAGUAAACUGCUAACUUUCAAAAAUGGCUUAUACAAAAAAUGGCUUAUUAAUUAUUUUAAAAAUGGCUUAUUAAUUAUUUAAAAAUGGCUUAUUAUUUAAUAAGGAAGCGUGUUCCUAGGCUCACUUUCGAAACAUGUGCAGACACCUACAAAAAAUCACCUUAAUUAAUUAUUGAUUUAAAUAUACAUUAAUUAUUAAAAAAAAGUCCAAUGGCUUUAUAAUUGAAACGUGUGCCAUUAGACUACUUUCUAGGAGCACUUUAAAAAACUAAAAAUAAAAUUAUAAAUAUAAAUUAAUUAUUAAAAUCAAAAAGCCUCAUUGAGAAACGUGUGCAGUAACCAUUUCCUAGAUACACGCUUCCAUUUUAAAUAACUAAACAAUCUAAAUAUAUAUUUACACGCUUCCAUAUUAAUUUACAUUAAAUAAUUUAAAUAAUUAUUUAUUAAUUAUUAAUUAAUUCAAAUCUGUCAUCAGUAGUAAUUAUUAUGUUAUAUUACUAAUUACUAAUAAGUACCGGUAGAAGAUGUAAUAUAUGUUCUAUUAUGUCUAUGUAAAUUAAUUAUUCCUUAAAUAAAUUAAUAUAACAUAGAGUAAAGUGCUGACUAGUAUUAAUGCUUGUAUCGAGCUAAAUUAUUUAUUAGAUUGAUUAUGUUAUAAAUCUUAAAUAAUAUUAAAGUAUAAUAUAGAGAUCUGAGAUCUCAUAAUUCAGAUUGUCGCUUUUAUUUUGAAGAUCAAAUGCACUCAUCACACGGUAGCUGGAGCUUACCAUUUGAGAAUCCUUCCAGCCAAUUUUUAGUCUUAAAAUAAAAAAUUAGCAACAACUUGCUGAGUUAAGAAACGCUUCAAUAACAAAAAUGUAUUCAAUGUAAUCUCGCAAUUAGUAAAGUUUGAAGAGGGUGGUGUGUACACAGUCUUAUCCUUAUCCUGAAAAGGUAGAAAAGUUGUUUCCAUUUGUCCCUAGACUCAAGUUGUGCAACACAAAAAUCGUAAAACAAGUAUAAAUAUAGUAAAUAAUCUAUACUAAAACAAAGGAGAAGAACAGUAAUAACAACAAAUAAUACGAUAAUCGAAAUCAAUGAGAUAAUAAAAUCGAAGAAUAAGAUAAUAUAAAAGUAAUAAAUCAAUACUGACAUGGAACUAAGCAACGCUCAUCCUAAUCUACAAAACUCACUGUCAUGUCCUUGAUAAACUACAAAUAUACCAUGUUCUAUCUAAUCAUCUCUAUGCAAAAUUCUUCGACUUACUUUUAUCUCUUCUCAUAGACAAACUAUAUGGUCAACUAAUUGAGUUAAAAAAUACACGUAAGGAUAAAGAUUUUGUGCUUGACCUCCUUUUCAUAUGUUUGAAGGAAAAUUGCUAAUCAAGAUAAUAGGCAUCGAAAAUUUGAACUUGUUGAAUUGGUAGCUUUUUCUCAAAUUAUUAUUAUCAUUUCCAGAAAAAAUAUACUUUACCCUUUCGUUAAUUUAGGUUGGAGAAUUUUGUAGAACACAAAUCAAAAGAUUGAAAGUGAGACAGGACAUCAAUUUAGGUAGAAUUGAAGGAAAAGGUUUUCCUUAAACCGUCCAAAAAUUCAGAACAGAGUUAAACUAAUAUUAAAAUAUGCAUGUGCUCAAAAAACUUGAAGCAGCUAAGAUGACGGUCCAUGCAUAACGCAUCUAGGACAUAGUCAACCCCAUGAUCACAUCGCGAUGACUUUUAUCGCAAGAAAAUAAUCUCUUAUAGUCACUUACAAAUAACCUUUUCCAGAUGUCUUGAAAAAAAAGACAAAAAACUAAAACAUUGUAAAAAUCUAUGAAAUCAUAGAUAGACUUAUAGCUACUAAGAUUCAUUUCCAUAUCAUAAAACUUGCACAGAUAAUGUGCUAUCAUGGACAUACCGGCAAAAAUAUAUGUGAUAUGCAUUCAGUUUUGGAACCAAAAUGUAUUUUUUUUCAUUAAUAAACGCAAAAGUUCAUGAGAAAACUUUUAGUCGGGAUACAGACAAGACCAACUACGUCCCGAAAUCAUGUCCAUGAACAGAUGAAAGUUUUCAACUUAUAAUCUUUGAGAUAUCUAGGCAUCAGCUCAAGACACAUUUUACAUCAAACUGACCAGGAUGUAACAAGAAACACACCUGCUAAAACAUAAGGCAUAUGAUAAAGCAGAAAACACGAUAUAUAUAUAAAUAUCAUUCGGUAACCUUCACGUCAGUUAGGUAGACUUGGCACUUGAUCGCACUGCCCCUGACAUAGAAACCAGGCAUUACCAUUAGACCAACCUUAGGCUUCUCGUUUUCGUCUACAGUGAAGUUUUCCAGAACACUUUCCAUAUAAACCUCUGAGAAGUCGGUUCCCUUCUUGACUUGGAAAACCCUAACUGGAGGAUCAAAUGAAUAUGCCAACCUAUGCAAAAGCCAAAUUGACUUGGUUAGUUUCAGAAAGGCCUGAUAGAAAGCUGUUCUUGGGUGUCCACCACUCAUAAUAUAGUUUCGCUGAUCCAAGUUCCCAAAAAAUGCAGACUCCAUCUUCGAAUGAACCACCUCCAAAUACUUCUUCCGGCAAAAGUUCCCAAAAAGGGACUUUGGAUUUUGGACUACAACAUCCAGUGGAUCUGAUUCCCGUAAUGCAAGAUACUGGUGGUAAAAGCUAUCAUUGGGGACAGCUGAAUUCUCAUAUUUCACACAGAAGAACUCAUUCUGAAAUUCAGCGAACAUUCUUUGGCAGAUAUGUGAUUCAAACGCAUAUUUCUUGUGAGCUCUCUUUGCAUAAACUAGAUCUGGCUCUAUGGAGUUUGCUGCAGCAUCAAGAUCCCAACCAGCAGCUUUCAUCAUGUUGAUCAGUGGCUUAGAGAAGUCGUGAAUGGCCCUAUAAGCAGCUUCCACGGCUGACCUGAAAAGCUCAGGAGUUAGGUCCACAGAGAAAUGCCCAUCCUCGUUAACUGCAUUCUCUGAUUCUUUCGCUGACAAACCCCUGAGCUUAAGGUUUUUCUCCAAUUUAAUCCGCUUCUGACUGGCCUCUAGUAUCUGCUGCUGCAGCUGAAGAAUCUCAGAAUCUUUGUUCUGAAUCUCAGAUUGAAACUUCUUCACCAUAACUUCAUAUGUUUUCAACAAGCUCUGCUGUUCUUGGAUCUCUGCAGCCAAGCGAGAGUCCUGAGGUGAAACACACACAGGUUUGGGAUUAUGCUCCCUGUAGAAGUGCUUCAGUUCAGAGAGAUUCUUCAGCUCUGAAAUUACAAGUUUAUCGGCAGCUUGGAUUUUAUCAGGGUCGUAAGGAGUAUGAGCAGAUUGGAGUUGAAUGUAGGCAGACUUCAGGGAAGAGAUAUUUGUAAAAAUCCUAGAUACCACAGCUUCAACUGCUUCAGGAUUUUGGUUUGCGGCUUCCUCCAUAGGUUGUGGAUGGACCUUCUGGCUGUUGCUCUCACGGAGUUGUGUAUCUUUUGCACCACUGGGUUGCAUAGCUACUUGUAAUGAGAAUAGAUUAGUCUAACCCCAACCCCUAAAAGUUUGCAGUGAUUAACCUGUA